GCUUUCGUGGUGUUGUGGUCUGCACGUUCAACUUGUAACUGAGAGGUCCGUGGUUCUAUUCCUGGCGAAGGCG
Molecule: transfer RNA, 73 nt
Filed under: Stegodyphus mimosarum
Lineage: Eukaryota; Metazoa; Arthropoda; Arachnida; Araneae; Eresidae
Rfam family: tRNA
About the family: Transfer RNA (tRNA) molecules are approximately 80 nucleotides in length. Their secondary structure includes four short double-helical elements and three loops (D, anti-codon, and T loops).
Source: Rfam by way of RNAcentral